This is a long non-coding RNA of Salvia miltiorrhiza (redroot sage), 564 nucleotides long. RefSeq lists it as uncharacterized. The transcript has 2 exons. The record is from RefSeq and is a predicted model, not a curated record. NCBI's taxonomy places the organism in Eukaryota, Viridiplantae, Streptophyta, Magnoliopsida, Lamiales, Lamiaceae.
AAUUAUAAUUCCAAUUAUUAAAGAAAGAUGAGUAAGAAUAUUGUUGGUGUUCUUAACUCAAGAGAAAUAUUUUCAAGUAUUUAUUUAUUAAAUUUUGAAAACCCGGCUAAGUGAAUCAUAGAAUGUUAAGCACUACACCAUGACUUAAGAUUAGAUACAAGGAGACCUAUUGAGAAUAGAUUUCUUGUAGGCUUCGAGCAUCAGAAGGAUUAGCACUGCUAUUCCGAUUCAGAGAUAAGGUUAAACGACAGGCUUUGCCUAUACAGGUUGAGCAGCUGAUGGAAUGGAAUGAUGUUGAGCGGGUGUUCCUUUGACAUUUCAAGAAAUGUAACCUUGAGUAUACAUCUUCAUAUGUAUAUCUCACGCGUUUUCCGCUGCAAAACACUUUGAUUAGGAUAGCUCUAUGUUAUGAAGUUGUUAUACGUGUUAUUGGGUAACCCACCUUAAUCAGUUCUCAUUUAUGUGUAUGUUUUAUAAGUAUCCAAAUAAUCAUAUAUGAUCCUAGCAUUUUAUCUAUGAGUGACAUUUCCAUAUACUUUAAUGUUAAGUAAUUGUCCAUUUCCA